CAGUCGCCGCGGGAAUACGAAGGGGGCUAGCGUUGUUCGGAUUUACUGGGCGUAAAGCGCACGUAGGCGGAUCGAUCAGUCAGGGGUGAAAUCCCAGAGCUCAACUCUGGAACUGCCUUUGAUACUGUCGAUCUGGAGUAUGGAAGAGGUGAGUGGAAUUCCGAGUGUAGUGGUGAAAUUCGUAGAUAUUCGCAAGAACACCAGUGGCGAAGGCGGCUCACUGGCCCGGUACUGACGCUGAGGCGCGAAAGCGUGGGGAGCAAACAGGAUUAGAUACCCGUGUAGUCCCUGUCUCUUAUAA
This 301-nucleotide ribosomal RNA is filed under the name uncultured bacterium. Its description in RNAcentral is "partial 16S ribosomal RNA". It matches the Rfam family "Bacterial small subunit ribosomal RNA", at positions 509 to 809 of the family's 1533-position model. The record is from RNAcentral.